CAUUCUUGAAGUCAGCGAGACCAUGAACCCACGGGAAGAAAGAAGCAGCUCCAGAUGCACCACCUUUAAGAGCUGUAACACUCACUGCGAAGGUCUGUGGCUUCACUCCUGAAGUCAGCGAGACCAUGAACCCACCAGCAGGAGGAAACUCUGGACACAUCUGAACAUCUGAAGAAAUAAACUCCAGACACACCAUCUUUAAGAGCUGUAACACUCACUGCGAAUGUCCGUGACUUCACUCUUGAAGUCAGUGAGACCAAGAACCCACAGGAAGGAAUAAAUUCCAGACACACUACUACUGUCCCUGUUCAUUAAUCUAUUUUUUUUGGCAAGAAAAUAUUGAUAACAGGCACUGUCCUGUGUGCUAGAGAUGGACAGAAUCAUGACUUUUGCCUUCAGGGCCUCACAGCUCAGUUGGAGAGCGCAACAUGACACCAGUUGAUUCCAGGGCAACACAAUUAGUGACAUAACAGAGACAGAUGAAAUGGAUUGCAGAAGCAGAGAGAACAUCCUGACUAAUUCAAUCUGCAAAUGGUGAAGAAGACCUUCCAGGGGUGAUGCUGUGAGCUGAAUUGUGUAUUAAUAGGAAUUUCUCGGUCCAACACACAGAGAAAUAAAGUUUUCUGUUGUUGUAAACUGUUCCUUACUAAUUAAAAACAAAGUGGUUAUAUUCUUGACCUCACUCUGAAUUUAAUUUUUUAAGAAUGUAAUCAUAAGUGAAAGCAAUUUUAAAUAUAGCAUUAUAGGGCACAGUAUUGAUAAAUGAGGGGAAAACUUUUUCUUAAAGAGUGUACCACUCACUUACCAUGCCCUGAAAUUAACUGAGAACUCAUUUGUCAAGAGAGCACCUACCCUAUAGAGAAUUCUUCCAAUUAACAUCAAAAGCGAUCAUUCUUAACCUCUCAUGCAUUAAGAAAAUCUUGUCUGCACCCAGUGUUCUGUGCAUAAUCAAUGAAGCCCCUUAUGUAUGUUAUUCCAAAUUUAUCACCCUGUAUAUUACUAAAAUGGAUGAAUUAAUAAAUGAAUCUGCUGUA
Molecule: long non-coding RNA, 1034 nt
Filed under: Pongo abelii (Sumatran orangutan)
Lineage: Eukaryota; Metazoa; Chordata; Mammalia; Primates; Hominidae
Description: lincRNA
Source: RNAcentral